Molecule: non-coding RNA, 45 nt
Organism: Schistosoma curassoni
Lineage: Eukaryota; Metazoa; Platyhelminthes; Trematoda; Strigeidida; Schistosomatidae
Source: Rfam
AUCCAGCUGACGAGUCAUAAAUAAAAUGAAACACUCGUCCUGGAU